AGAGUUUGAUCCUGGCUCAGAACGAACGCUGAUGGCGUGCCUCAUACAUGCAAGUCGAGCGGGGUAGCAAUACCCAGCGGCGAACGGGUGAGUAACACGUAAACAAUCUGCCUUGUGGUUUGGGAUAACUACCCUAACGGGUAGCUAAUACCGAAUAUAGCCCGAGGGUCGCAUGGCCCUUUGGUGAAAGAUUUAUCGCCGCAAGAUGAGUUUGCGUCCCAUUAGCUAGUUGGCGGGGUAACGGCCCACCAAGGCGACGAUGGGUAGCCGGCCUUAGAGGGUGUCCGGCCACACUGGGACUGAGAUACGGCCCAGACUCCUACGGGAGGCAGC
This 333-nucleotide ribosomal RNA is filed under the name uncultured bacterium. RNAcentral's name for it is "bacterial SSU rRNA". It matches the Rfam family "Bacterial small subunit ribosomal RNA", at positions 8 to 352 of the family's 1533-position model. The record is from RNAcentral.